GUCCCAGACUAAUCAGGUACAGAACAGCCAGGAGAUUGGCUUGUUUCUAUGAAGAGGGAGAUUUACAGCCCAUCAGAAAGCUUCCCUGGGGGCUGAUCACCCACAGGGAAAACUAUUAUGUAUCCUCCACAAAAGAGGCUGCCUUCAUUUUCUGCAAGGCGGUAUACUCCCAGCCCCCAGACCGAAUAGCCCCCGGACCGAAUUUCAGAACAAUGAGGCAGCCAUGAUGUUGAAAGCAACAAGCAUUUAUUAUCUCCCCAUUUCUGGUGUGACUGAGCUGAGUGCCUUUGGCUCCGGGUCUCUCAUAAGGCUGAAAUCAAGGUGGGCAGUGCCGCAGUCAUCUCAAGGUUAAACCAGAAGUGGAUCUUCCAAGCUCAGUCAGGAAAUCAGUCCUGAAUAUUCAUUGGAAGGAUUGAUGCUGAAGCUGAAACUCCAAUACUUUGGCCACCUGAUGCGAAGAGCUAACUCAUUGGAAAAGAUCCUGAUGCCUGGAAAGAUUGAAGGAGAUGCAGAAUCUGAUUAAGACUCCAGGCCAAAGAAUUUUGAAGACUUCUGGCAUACUUGACUUCUAGGCAAAAGUCAUCGUCCUUCAGCCACACCUUCCUUUUGUUCUUGAAACCUGCUUCUGGCACAGGAAGAGGAAAAAUGUCCUGUACUUGCUAUCUCUCAGGCUGUUAUAUUUUUCUGAUAAAUGUCAGGCUGCAUUCACUUGUGAACAUUUCCCUCAUAGGUUCAGAUAAUUAAUUGCUGAGUCUUGCUGCUUUCUUUUGAGAAAGGGGCAGUAUAUAAAACACAUUUUGUAAUAAAAAUAUGUCUGCUGCAUAUGCUUUAAGAAUAAAUGCUAAAUUUCAGAAC
Bos taurus (domestic cattle) is the source of this 855-nucleotide long non-coding RNA. The record is from Ensembl. Lineage: Eukaryota; Metazoa; Chordata; Mammalia; Artiodactyla; Bovidae.